UGGGGAAUAUUGCACAAUGGGGGAAACCCUGAUGCAGCAACGCCGCGUGAGUGAAGAAGGUUUUCGGAUUGUAAAGCUCUGUUAGCAGGGAAGAGGAAGGACGGUACCUGCAGAGGAAGCCACGGCUAACUACGUGCCAGCAGCCGCGGUAAUACGUAGGUGGCAAGCGUUGUUCGGAAUAACUGGGCGUAAAGGAUGCGUAGGCGGUUAAACAAGUUAUAUGUUAAAUAUAUAGGCUUAACCUGUAGAAAGCAUAUAAAACUGUUUAACUAGAGUGCAGGAGAGGUAAGUGGAAUUCCUAGUGUAGCGGUGAAAUGCGUAGAGAUUAGGAAGAACACCAGUGGCGAAGGCGACUUACUGGACUGUAACUGACGCUGAGGCAUGAGAGCAUGGGGAGCAAACA
This 403-nucleotide ribosomal RNA is filed under the name uncultured Candidatus Neoarthromitus sp. Its description in RNAcentral is "bacterial SSU rRNA". It matches the Rfam family "Bacterial small subunit ribosomal RNA", at positions 355 to 774 of the family's 1533-position model. Lineage: Bacteria; Bacillati; Bacillota; Clostridia; Eubacteriales; Clostridiaceae. The record is from RNAcentral.